This 71-nucleotide transfer RNA is filed under the name Minisyncoccota bacterium. RNAcentral's name for it is "tRNA-Gly". It matches the Rfam family "tRNA". Rfam says of the family: Transfer RNA (tRNA) molecules are approximately 80 nucleotides in length. Their secondary structure includes four short double-helical elements and three loops (D, anti-codon, and T loops). The record is from RNAcentral. Lineage: Bacteria; Bacillati; Minisyncoccota.
GCGGGACUAGUUUAAUGGUAGAAUAGGAGUUUUCCAAACUCUUGGCGGGGGUUCGAUUCCCCCGUCCCGCA